This 72-nucleotide transfer RNA is filed under the name Acanthoscelides obtectus. It matches the Rfam family "tRNA". Rfam says of the family: Transfer RNA (tRNA) molecules are approximately 80 nucleotides in length. Their secondary structure includes four short double-helical elements and three loops (D, anti-codon, and T loops). Further hydrogen bonds mediate the characteristic L-shaped molecular structure. tRNAs have two regions of fundamental functional importance: the anti-codon, which is responsible for specific mRNA codon recognition, and the 3' end, to which the tRNAs corresponding amino acid is attached (by aminoacyl-tRNA synthetases). tRNAs cope with the degeneracy of the genetic code in two manners: having more than one tRNA (with a specific anti-codon) for a particular amino acid; and 'wobble' base-pairing, i.e. permitting non-standard base-pairing at the 3rd anti-codon position. The record is from Rfam by way of RNAcentral. Lineage: Eukaryota; Metazoa; Arthropoda; Insecta; Coleoptera; Chrysomelidae.
GCCUCUUUAGCUCAGUGGCAGAGUACUGGUCUUGUAAACCAGGGGUCGUGAGUUCAAUCCUCAAAGAAGGCA